UACGGAGGGGGCUAGCGUUGUUCGGAAUUACUGGGCGUAAUGCGCACGUAGGCGGAUCGGAAAGUCAGGGGUGAAAUCCCGGGGCUCAACCCCGUAACUGCCUUUGAAACUCCCGGUCUGGAGGUCGAGAGAGGUGGGUGGAAUUCCGAGUGUAGAGGUGAAAUUCGUAGAUAUUCGGAGGAACACCAGUGGCGAAGGCGGCCCACUGGCUCGAUACUGACGCUGAGGUGCGAAAGCGUGGGGAGCAAACAGG
This 253-nucleotide ribosomal RNA is filed under the name uncultured bacterium. RNAcentral's name for it is "partial 16S ribosomal RNA". It matches the Rfam family "Bacterial small subunit ribosomal RNA", at positions 524 to 776 of the family's 1533-position model. The record is from RNAcentral.